UACGUAGGGGGCAAGCGUUGUCCGGAAUCAUUGGGCGUAAAGCGCGUGUAGGCGGUCCGGUAAGUCCGCUGUGAAAGUCGGGGGCUUAACCCGCGGAUGCCGGUGGAUACUGUCGGGCUUGAGUACGGAAGAGGCGAGUGGAAUUCCUGGUGUAGCGGUGAAAUGCGCAGAUAUCAGGAGGAACACCAAUUGCGAAGGCAGCUCGCUGGGACGUUACUGACGCUGAGACGCGAAAGCGUGGGGAGCAAACAGG
RNAcentral lists this ribosomal RNA (253 nucleotides) under uncultured bacterium. RNAcentral's name for it is "partial 16S ribosomal RNA". It matches the Rfam family "Bacterial small subunit ribosomal RNA", at positions 524 to 776 of the family's 1533-position model. The record is from RNAcentral.